GUCUUCGUAGUGUCGUGGUCAGCACGCUCGACUCGUAACCGAGAGAUCCAUGGUCCGGUUCCCGGCGAAGGCG
RNAcentral lists this transfer RNA (73 nucleotides) under Stegodyphus mimosarum. It matches the Rfam family "tRNA". From Rfam's summary of the family: Transfer RNA (tRNA) molecules are approximately 80 nucleotides in length. Their secondary structure includes four short double-helical elements and three loops (D, anti-codon, and T loops). The record is from Rfam by way of RNAcentral. Lineage: Eukaryota; Metazoa; Arthropoda; Arachnida; Araneae; Eresidae.